Molecule: ribosomal RNA, 254 nt
Filed under: uncultured bacterium
Lineage: Bacteria
Description: partial 16S ribosomal RNA
Rfam family: Bacterial small subunit ribosomal RNA
Source: RNAcentral
UACGAAGGGGGCUAGCGUUGUUCGGAAUCACUGGGCGUAAAGCGCACGUAGGCGGAUCUUUAAGUCAGGGGUGAAAUCCCGGGGCUCAACCUCGGAACUGCCUUUGAUACUGGGGAUCUCGAGUCCGGGAGAGGUGAGUGGAACUGCGAGUGUAGAGGUGAAAUUCGUAGAUAUUCGCAAGAACACCAGUGGCGAAGGCGGCUCACUGGCCCGGAACUGACGCUGAGGUGCGAAAGCGUGGGGAGCAAACAGGA